RNAcentral lists this ribosomal RNA (447 nucleotides) under uncultured bacterium. RNAcentral describes it as "bacterial SSU rRNA". It matches the Rfam family "Bacterial small subunit ribosomal RNA", at positions 227 to 695 of the family's 1533-position model. The record is from RNAcentral.
GGUCCCGCGUCUGAUUAGCUUGUUGGUGAGGUAACGGCUCACCAAGGCGACGAUCAGUAGCCGGCCUGAGAGGGUGUCCGGCCACACUGGGACUGAGAUACGGCCCAGACUCCUACGGGAGGCAGCAGUCGAGAAGCUUCGGCAAUGGGCGAAAGCCUGACCGAGCGACGCCGCGUGUGCGAUGAAGGCCCUAGGGUCGUAAAGCACUGUCAGGAGGGAAUCUGAAGGUACCUCCAAGGAAGCACCGGCCUAACUACGUGCAGCAGCCGCGGUAAUACGUAGGGUGCAAACGUUGUACGGAUUCACUGGGUAUCAAGGGUUCGUAGGCGGCUGGUAAGUCAGAAGGUGAAAGCCACUGGCUCAACCGUUGAAUUGCCUCUGAUACUGUCAGUCUUGAGUCCGUCCGGGGAUGGUGGGAUUCCUGGUGUAGCGGUGAAAUGCGUAAAU